UACGUAGGGGGCAAGCGUUGUCCGGAAUUAUUGGGCGUAAAGAGCUCGUAGGCGGCUUGUCACGUCGGAUGUGAAAGCCCGGGGCUUAACCCCGGGUCUGCAUUCGAUACGGGCUAGCUAGAGUGUGGUAGGGGAGAUCGGAAUUCCUGGUGUAGCGGUGAAAUGCGCAGAUAUCAGGAGGAACACCGGUGGCGAAGGCGGGUCUCUGGGCCGAUACUGACGCUGAGGAGCGAAAGCGUGGGGAGCGAACAGG
Molecule: ribosomal RNA, 253 nt
Filed under: uncultured bacterium
Lineage: Bacteria
Description: partial 16S ribosomal RNA
Rfam family: Bacterial small subunit ribosomal RNA
Source: RNAcentral